UCCUCCGGGAGGCAGCAGCAGGGAAUCUUGGGCAAUGGGCGAAAGCCUGACCCAGCGACGCCGCGUGGAGGAAGAAGUCCUUCGGGGCGUAAACUCCUGGACUGGGGGACGAGGAAGGACGGUACCCCAGUAGAAAGGGACGGCUAACUACGUGCCAGCAGCCGCGGUAAAACGUAGGUCCCGAGCGUUGUUCGGAUUCACUGGGUGUAAAGGGCGCGUAGGUGGUUGUCUGUGUCUCAUGUGAAAACUCAGGGCUCAACUCUGAGAUUGCGUGGGAAACUAGGCAGCUAGAGGACGGUAGAGGGGAGUGGAAUUCCCGGUGUAGCGGUAAAAUGCGUAGAUAUCGGGAGGAACACCGGUGGCGAAGGCGGCUCUCUGGGCCGAUCCUGACGCUGAGGCGCGAAAGCUAGGGGAGCGAACCGGAUUAGAUACCCGGGUAGUCCUAGCCGUAAACGAUGGGUGCUAGGUGUUGGGGGGUAAAGACCCUUCAGUGCCGAAGCCAACGCGAUAAGCUCCCAC
Molecule: ribosomal RNA, 519 nt
Filed under: uncultured bacterium
Lineage: Bacteria
Description: bacterial SSU rRNA
Rfam family: Bacterial small subunit ribosomal RNA
Source: RNAcentral